RNAcentral lists this ribosomal RNA (253 nucleotides) under uncultured bacterium. RNAcentral's name for it is "partial 16S ribosomal RNA". It matches the Rfam family "Bacterial small subunit ribosomal RNA", at positions 524 to 776 of the family's 1533-position model. The record is from RNAcentral.
UACGUAUGGUGCGAGCGUUGUUCGGAAUCACUGGGCAUAAAGCGCACGCAGGCGGUGGUGUAAGUCAGCUGUGAAAGCCCCCGGCUCAACCGAGGAACUGCAGCUGAUACUGCCUCGCUAGAGGGUGGGAGGGGAGAACGGAAUUCCUGGUGGAGCGGUGAAAUGCGUAGAGAUCAGGUGGAACGCCGGAGGCGAAAGCGGUUCUCUGGCCCGCUACUGACGAUGAGGUGCGAAAGAUAGGGGAGCAAACAGG